This 540-nucleotide long non-coding RNA is filed under the name Felis catus (domestic cat). RNAcentral's name for it is "lncRNA (ENSFCAG00000053144.1)". The record is from RNAcentral. Lineage: Eukaryota; Metazoa; Chordata; Mammalia; Carnivora; Felidae.
AUGUAUAUAGCUUCUGAAACACUUUGGAAUGAAAGGUGCUAUGAAAUUGUAAAGUGUUUUUAUCACAGAGUUCUGCCAAUAUGUCUCGAUCCUGACAUGCAACACCUCUGCUAUUUCAGUGUUGUGACGGGGACACAGCUGGUCCUGAGAAGGCAUCAUAUUCAGACAAGCAUGUCAGAUUGCAUUCAUUACUGUGGCUUCCUAUUUCUGGGAUGGCCAAAUGUAUGAAGAAUGGAUUAUUUAACACUUAUAACACAUUUUGAAAACCUAAAUCACAUUGUUGCAACUAGGCAACUGUUGAAAAAGUAAGUACCAGAUUUAUUAGCAGCUAUUUUCACAAAGAUUCCAUUUAAUAAUGUUGGUGUACCCUCUGUAAUUUAUUUGAUUAAUAAUAUUUGAUUUGAACCCAAAUGAUGACUUCUCACAUAUAUGACAGAACUAAUGAACUGUGAAAGAAGAACUGUUCAGAUGGUCACCAAUAACCACUGCUUUGUUAAUCCUUUAAAUAAACUGGAGCUCACAAUGUGUCCCUUUGAAGUC